UCGGAAUCAGGUAGGACUACCCGCUGAACU
Molecule: ribosomal RNA, 30 nt
Filed under: Metarhizium anisopliae
Lineage: Eukaryota; Fungi; Ascomycota; Sordariomycetes; Hypocreales; Clavicipitaceae
Description: partial 28S ribosomal RNA
Source: RNAcentral